This 74-nucleotide transfer RNA is filed under the name Nematostella vectensis (starlet sea anemone). It matches the Rfam family "tRNA". From Rfam's summary of the family: Transfer RNA (tRNA) molecules are approximately 80 nucleotides in length. Their secondary structure includes four short double-helical elements and three loops (D, anti-codon, and T loops). Lineage: Eukaryota; Metazoa; Cnidaria; Anthozoa; Actiniaria; Edwardsiidae. The record is from Rfam by way of RNAcentral.
GUCACUGUGGCGCAAUAGGUUUGUGCGUUCGUCUGUUAACCGAAAGGAUGAUGGUUCAAACCCAUCUUGGAGCA